RNAcentral lists this ribosomal RNA (253 nucleotides) under uncultured bacterium. Its description in RNAcentral is "partial 16S ribosomal RNA". It matches the Rfam family "Bacterial small subunit ribosomal RNA", at positions 524 to 776 of the family's 1533-position model. The record is from RNAcentral.
UACGGAGGGUGCAAACGUUGCUCGGAAUUAUUGGGCGUAAAGCGCACGUAGGCGGCCGACUAAGUCGGGUGUGAAAGCCCUGGGCUCAACCCAGGAAGUGCACUCGAAACUGGUCGGCUUGAGUAUGGAAGAGGGUCGCGGAAUUCCCGGUGUAGAGGUGAAAUUCGUAGAUAUCGGGAGGAACACCAGUGGCGAAGGCGGCGACCUGGGCCAAUACUGACGCUGAGGUGCGAAAGCGUGGGGAGCAAACAGG